Molecule: ribosomal RNA, 873 nt
Filed under: Lanzia allantospora
Lineage: Eukaryota; Fungi; Ascomycota; Leotiomycetes; Helotiales; Rutstroemiaceae
Description: LSU rRNA
Rfam family: Eukaryotic large subunit ribosomal RNA
Source: RNAcentral
ACUAAGCAUAUCAAUAAGCGGAGGAAAAGAAACCAACAGGGAUUGCCUCAGUAACGGCGAGUGAAGCGGCAUAAGCUCAAAUUUGAAAUCUGGCUCUUUCAGAGUCCGAGUUGUAAUUUGUAGAAGAUGUUUCGGGUGUGGUUCCGGUCUAAGUUCCUUGGAACAGGACGUCAUAGAGGGUGAGAAUCCCGUAUGUGACCGGUUACUUUCGCCCAUGUGAAACUCUUUCGACGAGUCGAGUUGUUUGGGAAUGCAGCUCAAAAUGGGUGGUAAAUUUCAUCUAAAGCUAAAUAUUGGCCAGAGACCGAUAGCGCACAAGUAGAGUGAUCGAAAGAUGAAAAGCACUUUGGAAAGAGAGUUAAACAGUACGUGAAAUUGUUGAAAGGGAAGCGCUUGCAAUCAGACUUGCGCCUAGUUGAUCAUCUGGACUUCUGUCCAGUGCACUCGAUUAGGCUCAGGCCAGCAUCAGUUUGAGUGGUUGGAUAAAGGCUUAGGGAAUGUGGCCCCUCUCGGGGGGUGUUAUAGCCCUAGGUGCAAUGCAGCCUACUUGGACUGAGGACCGCGCUUCGGCUAGGAUGCUGGCGUAAUGGUUGUAAGCGACCCGUCUUGAAACACGGACCAAGGAGUCUAACAUUUAUGCGAGUAUUUGGGUGUUAAACCCAUAUGCGUAAUGAAAGUGAACGGAGGUAAGAACCCUUAAGGGUGCAUUAUCGACCGAUCCUGAUGUCUUCGGAUGGAUUUGAGUAAGAGCAUAACUGUUGGGACCCGAAAGAUGGUGAUCUAUACGUGAAUAGGGUGAAGCCAGAGGAAACUCUGGUGGAGGCUCGCAGCGGUUCUGACGUGCAAAUCGAUCGUCAAAUUUGCGUAUAGGGC